CCUACGGGCGGCAGCAGUGGGGAAUAUUGGACAAUGGGGGGAACCCUGAUCCAGCCAUGCCGCGUGUGUGAAGAAGGCCCUCGGGUUGUAAAGCACUUUCAGUGAGGAAGAACGCCUGGUGGUUAAUACCCAUCAGGAAAGACAUCACUCACAGAAGAAGCACCGGCUAACUCCGUGCCAGUAGCCGCGGUAAUACGGAGGGUGCGAGCGUUAAUCGGAAUUACUGGGCGUAAAGCGCGCGUAGGUGGCUUGAUAAGCCGGUUGUGAAAGCCCCGGGCUCAACCUGGGAACGGCAUCCGGAACUGUCAAGCUAGAGUGCAGGAGAGGAAGGUAGAAUUCCCGGUGUAGCGGUGAAAUGCGUAGAGAUCGGGAGGAAUACCAGUGGCGAAGGCGGCCUUCUGGACUGACACUGACACUGAGGUGCGAAAGCGUGGGUAGCAAACAGGAUUAGAUACCCCUGUAGUC
RNAcentral lists this ribosomal RNA (465 nucleotides) under Vreelandella stevensii. RNAcentral describes it as "partial 16S ribosomal RNA". It matches the Rfam family "Bacterial small subunit ribosomal RNA", at positions 338 to 795 of the family's 1533-position model. Lineage: Bacteria; Pseudomonadati; Pseudomonadota; Gammaproteobacteria; Oceanospirillales; Halomonadaceae. The record is from RNAcentral.